This 267-nucleotide long non-coding RNA is filed under the name Gossypium barbadense (sea-island cotton). RNAcentral describes it as "long non-coding RNA (GBAR_LNC007993)". Lineage: Eukaryota; Viridiplantae; Streptophyta; Magnoliopsida; Malvales; Malvaceae. The record is from RNAcentral.
CUACUUUAGGACUCUAUACUGAGGAGUUCAUGAGUGUUGAGGGGUUCCUCACUUUAUACCAGCACAUCCACUACUCACCAUUUUUAUGCAGGCAGAGUUUACUGCGAGCAUGAUGCCCUAUGACCCGAGUCGGUCGAAGGUGACUUCCCUAUCUCUAGCCUUGCACUAUAUUCAUGUCAUCUUGGCUCACACACUAACCGAUCAGAGGGAGAGAACUAGGGUCAUCGGUACAUUCGAUGCAAAUUUCUUUUGGAGCAUGGCUACGGG